UGCAGCAGAGGAUGGCCUCAUCGAG
RNAcentral lists this unclassified non-coding RNA (25 nucleotides) under Mus musculus (house mouse). RNAcentral describes it as "oocyte_clustered_small_RNA11115". The record is from RNAcentral. Lineage: Eukaryota; Metazoa; Chordata; Mammalia; Rodentia; Muridae.